Salvia miltiorrhiza (redroot sage) is the source of this 2175-nucleotide RNA transcript. RefSeq lists it as uncharacterized. NCBI's taxonomy places the organism in Eukaryota, Viridiplantae, Streptophyta, Magnoliopsida, Lamiales, Lamiaceae. The transcript has 3 exons. The record is from RefSeq and is a predicted model, not a curated record.
AACGGAGAUGUACUAAUCAAGCCAUAACUGCUUUUUCUCCAACAUCAGAACUCUAGUUUUAUCAACGCAAAACAGAACCUCCGCCCCCACCCGGAGCCACGCCGUCGAACCCCGCUUCUUCUCCCCGCCGUCAUUCCAGAACCGCCGCCCCGCUCCGAGCCACGCCGUCGAUCUCCAUAAUCUUCUUUCCGCCGUCGAUCUCCGCAAUCUUCUCCUUGCCGUCGAUGCGAAACCGCCGCCUGGUCCAGAACCGCCCAUAUGCCGUCAAUCCCGCGCCGCCGCUCACCAUGGAGUCAUGGAACUAGCCUACAAUAGCAAUUGGAUCAGCAUUUGGAAACUAUCUGAGCUUCAUCCGUUCCGGAUUCUAUGGGGGAAGAACACGCUGAGCACUGGUUUGGAACUUCUUCUGCUUCUUGCAUUCUCACACAUUAAUUUCAAGUAAAUGUGCCAACUCUCAAAUAAGAUUUGAUUUAUGUAAUUAGAUUGAGUCCCGUUGACAGAUCUUGCUUUAUCCUCCUUGAUUUAUGCUGAUAGAAAUAAAAAAAUGUGUUUUGGUAGCUAGUGAAGAACUAUUAUUGGAGGGAUUGUUGCUAACUAUUCUUGCAACUAUAGGAAAUGGCUCAUGUUUUCAGCUUGUAGGAGUGCCAGAUUAUCACUUGGUAAAUUGUGUCGAAAAAUGUAGUGUAAAUACAGUAUAUUGGUAAUUUCAGAUGUGGCUUCAUUAAAAUGUAAAUUGUGUCGAACUAUUGUUGGUUGUUUUGUUUGUUUUUUUAGCUAGCAAACUUUUCCAAGGAUGCAUCAAAUGGUUUGGGGGAUUUUGAAGAAACAUCUAAUGAUGAUAUCAAGUCUUUCUUCGACUCAUCCUCUCCUCUGAAGGAUGUUGCAGAAAUCAAAAGAAAAACUGAAGAAUUCAUUUUCAGGCAAUGUUGUCAGUUGCCCCCAAAUCAAAUCAAUGCUAAACUGGACGCGUGAAAUGUCCACGUGGCCACAUGAACUAUUAAACGAUGUGUUGGAUGUCUACGACACUUCAACUAUCUACAUCACUUCAGCUAGUCACGAUGACAUUAGUUAUUGGCAUUGACAACACUGUUGGAAUGAAUGCGUGUGCAGAGGAACCUACCAGCCAUUUUGCAGAUCUCUUCCAAAUAAUCAAUUGCUCGAAUGUUUAGAAGUUACUAAUGAAUCCAAUAUGACAGGUUCAUUUCAUCACCACUCCUAUUCCUGUCUAUAUUGUAUUUUCUGCUCAAGUUUCUGACUUCCUGUAUUGAUAGUAGAGACGCAUCCUAUGACAUAGGCAAUGCUCAAGGAUAUUGCUGUUUCUUUACAUAAACAUAUGUUCUCUUGAUGUUAAUGCUCAAUUUGCUCGAAGUAAUUUUAGGGCUCGCUUGGUAAGGCAUGAUAUAUUUGAUUGAGAUGUCUUUUGAUAUAAUAACUGUGUUUUGUACUACUACUACCUGGAAGUUGGUAUGCAAAAUCACACAAAUCUGAAUUAUAUUUUUGGGUUUUUUCUUAUAAAGGAUUGUGUGUAUUUUGUGCCAAACAAGAUAUUAGAGUGUCAUAAGUAUAUUAUAUAUCUUAAUCACGCGUACCACACAAGCCCUCUGAUUAACCGUGUGAUCAUUGUUUCUAUCAGUAACAGCCAUGCGGUAUGAUCAUCACUGUUUUUAGUGAAGUCUUUGUGCUCGUCUUGUGACUUGAUCGAUCAACAUUGAGACUCUGUUUUUCAGGCAACGAGCAGUGGCACUUUGCUGAAACUUCCCUUCACCACGAUAUUCGAGUAUCUUCAGGUUGUUACUCUCGCAUGAAAAUCGAGAGAAUCAGAGUUACUCUAAUUGGGGAAGGGGAGAAAUGAGUUCCAAGUGGAGUUAACAAAUCACUUAUUAAUUCCAGCUUGAACUCACAACGCCAGUUGUGAGAUAGAAACAGCUGACAACAGCAAAUGAUGAACACUUUUUCUUCUCAUUUUUCCUUUACAGCAUUAGCUCAAUGAGUCUUUCACUUAUGAAGAGCGAUCGAAUGAAUAAAUAUUUUGCUAACUAUUGUUAUGCAAGAAAAUAAUCUAGUUCUUUUUUCAUUUUAUUUUGGCUUCUCUGCAAAGGUAGUUACCAGUUAUAUGUAUGAGAGCUAUUUACAUUGUCGGUGCAAUAAUAUUCGAAUAUGAUGUCAGGAGAUAAA